GAACGCAUCUUGCGCUCCUUGGUAUUCCGAGGAGCAUGCCUGUUUGAGUAUCAUGAACACCUCAACUCUCGUGGCCUGCCACGAUGAGCUUGGACUUUGGGGGUCUUGCCGGCCUAGCGUCGGCUCCUCUCAAAUGGAUCAGCUUGCCAGUGUUUGGUGGCGUCACGGGUGUGAUAACUAUCUACGCUUGUGGUUUUCUACCAUGUAACCUUCAGUGAUGGAGGUUCGCUGGGGCUCACAGAUGUCUCUCCUUGGGGAGGACAGCUUUUUGAACGUUUGAUCUCAAAUCAGGUAGGACUACCCGCUGAACUUAAG
RNAcentral lists this unclassified non-coding RNA (315 nucleotides) under uncultured Tomentella. RNAcentral describes it as "sequence contains 5.8S rRNA gene". The stretch from base 1 to 53 matches the Rfam family "5.8S ribosomal RNA", at positions 102 to 154 of the family's 154-position model. Lineage: Eukaryota; Fungi; Basidiomycota; Agaricomycetes; Thelephorales; Thelephoraceae. The record is from RNAcentral.